UACGGGAGGCAGCAGUGGGGAAUAUUGCACAAUGGGCGCAAGCCUGAUGCAGCCAUGCCGCGUGUAUGAAGAAGGCCUUCGGGUUGUAAAGUACUUUCAGUCGUGAGGAAGGUGUUAAGGUUAAUAACCUUAGCAAUUGACGUUAGCGACAGAAGAAGCACCGGCUAACUCCGUGCCAGCAGCCGCGGUAAUACGGAGGGUGCGAGCGUUAAUCGGAAUUACUGGGCGUAAAGGGCACGCAGGCGGUUAAUUAAGUUGGAUGUGAAAUCCCCGGGCUUAACCUGGGAAUGGCAUUCAAGACUGGUUAGCUAGAGUCUUGUAGAGGGGGUAGAAUUCCAUGUGUAGCGGUGAAAUGCGUAGAGAUGUGGAGGAAUACCGGUGGCGAAGGCGGCCCCUGGACAAAGACUGACGCUCAUGUGCGAAAGCGUGGGGAGCAAACGAGGGAUUAGAUACC
RNAcentral lists this ribosomal RNA (454 nucleotides) under uncultured bacterium. Its description in RNAcentral is "bacterial SSU rRNA". It matches the Rfam family "Bacterial small subunit ribosomal RNA", at positions 340 to 786 of the family's 1533-position model. The record is from RNAcentral.